UCCUAACGGCGAGUGAAGCGGCAACAGCUCAAAUUUGAAAUCUGGCCCCCGGGUCCGAGUUGUAAUUUGUAGAGGAUGCUUUUGGCGAGGUGCCUUCCGAGUUCCCUGGAACGGGACGCCAUAGAGGGUGAGAGCCCCGUCUGGUCGGACACCGAGCCUCUGUAAAGCUCCUUCGACGAGUCGAGUAGUUUGGGAAUGCUGCUCAAAAUGGGAGGUAUAUGUCUUCUAAAGCUAAAUAUUGGCCAGAGACCGAUAGCGCACAAGUAGAGUGAUCGAAAGAUGAAAAGCACUUUGAAAAGAGGGUUAAAAAGUACGUGAAAUUGUUGAAAGGGAAGCGCCUAUGACCAGACUUGGGCCCGGUGAAUCACCCAGCGUUCUCGCUGGUGCACUUCGCCGGGCACAGGCCAGCAUCAGUUUGGCGCGGGGGAGAAAGGCUUCGGGAAUGUGGCUCCCCCGGGAGUGUUAUAGCCCGUUGCGCAAUACCCUGCGCUGGACUGAGGUACGCGCAUUCGCAAGGAUGCUGGCGUAAUGGUCAUCAGCGACCCGUCUUGAAACACGGACCAAGGAGUCGUCUUCGUAUGCGAGUGUUCGGGUGUCAAACCCCUACGCGUAAUGAAAGUGAACGCAGGUGAGAGCUUCGGCGCAUCAUCGACCGAUCCUGAUGUUCUCGGAUGGAUUUGAGUAAGAGCAUACGGGGCCGGACCCGAAAGAAGGUGAACUAUGCCUGUAUAGGGUGAAGCCAGAGGAAACUCUGGUGGAGGCUCGCAGCGGUUCUGACGUGCGAAUCGAUCGUCAAAUAUGGGCAUGGGGGCGAAAGACUAAUCGAACCUUCUAGUAGCUGGUUUCCGCCGAAGUUUCCCUCAGGAUAGCAGUGUUGAACUCAGUUUUAUGAGGUAAAGCGAAUGAUUAGGGACUCGGGGGCGCUAUAUUGCCUUCAUCCAUUCUCAAACUUUAAAUAUGUAAGAAGCCCUUGUUACUUGAUUGAACGUGGGCAUUCGAAUGUAUCAACACUAGUGGGCCAUUUUUGGUAAGCAGAACUGGCGAUGCGGGAUGAACCGAACGCGAGGUUAAGGUGCCGGAGUGGACGCUCAUCAGACACCACAAAAGGUGUUAGUACAUCUUGACAGCAGGACGGUGGCCAUGGAAGUCGGAAUCCGCUAAGGACUGUGUAACAACUCACCUGCCGAAUGUACUAGCCCUGAAAAUGGAUGGCGCUCAAGCGUCCCACCCAUACCUCGCCCUCAGGGUAGAAACGAAGCCCUGAGGAGUAGGCGGACC
RNAcentral lists this ribosomal RNA (1278 nucleotides) under Cordyceps kyushuensis. Its description in RNAcentral is "eukaryotic LSU rRNA". It matches the Rfam family "Eukaryotic large subunit ribosomal RNA", at positions 81 to 1391 of the family's 3401-position model. Lineage: Eukaryota; Fungi; Ascomycota; Sordariomycetes; Hypocreales; Cordycipitaceae. The record is from RNAcentral.